UCCCAGACUCCUACGGGAGGCAGCAGUGGGGAAUAUUGCACAAUGGGGGGAACCCUGAUGCAGCGACGCCGCGUGGGUGAAGGAGUAUUUCGGUAUGUAAAGCCCUAUCAGCAGGGAAGAACAAUGACGGUACCUGACUAAGAAGCCCCGGCUAACUACGUGCCAGCAGCCGCGGUAAUACGUAGGGGGCAAGCGUUAUCCGGAUUUACUGGGUGUAAAGGGAGCGUAGACGGCAUGGCAAGUCAGAUGUGAAAGCCCGGGGCUCAACCCCGGGACUGCAUUUGAAACUGUCAGGCUGGAGUGCAGGAGAGGUAAGUGGAAUUCCUAGUGUAGCGGUGAAAUGCGUAGAUAUUAGGAGGAACACCAGUGGCGAAGGCGGCCUGCUGGACGGUGACUGACGCUGAGGCUCGAAAGCGUGGGGAGCAAACAGGAUUAGAUACCCCAGUA
This 447-nucleotide ribosomal RNA is filed under the name uncultured bacterium. RNAcentral describes it as "bacterial SSU rRNA". It matches the Rfam family "Bacterial small subunit ribosomal RNA", at positions 329 to 792 of the family's 1533-position model. The record is from RNAcentral.